CAACUACCAACGUUUCGUCCUUAAUUACGCUCGUUGUUGUAUUUCUGCGGGCCUGAGGUCGGCGGUGCGUUCUCUCCUAACAUUAGGGGGUUACGAAGGAGAGGCCCAGAUAUCAGCUGCGGCCUCCCAGGGGGACGUUCUGGGAGCGGAGGAAGCUUUGUAGAGUCGUCUGUGGAAGAAAAAUGAUAACGGGGAGCGGUCCUUCACUUACUGCCAGUUUCUUAGUCAGUCAACAAUGUUGGCGAUGAAAGAAGCUUUUUAAUUAAGCAAACAGGAGGCACAAAGGCUCGUGAAGCCAUGAAAAGCUCACCAGCUAGAAGUCCUUAGCGGCAAAUAUUUUCCCUUUUCUCACUGUUGAGCUCACUGUGCCUUUGUGGGGAGAGAGGCCCGAUUUACGUUCUCGUUGUGACUUCCUGGAUGUAGAAAGGAUACAGAAUGGUCGUUUCCAGCGCUCGAGGCUCUACCGACGUGAAUUGUAACUACAACCACAUCGAUUGCAGUGGGCCUGGAAAGACUGGGGCCAGAAAAAAAAAGGAGAGCAGGAAAGCAAAAAUGGUAUCCUGCUACUUCAUGAGAAGGGCCGGAACGCCAUCCGUGAACCAGUUUGGAUCUUUUCUCUAAGUGGCAAAUUAAACCAGGGACUCUUCUUCCCAUCCAAACUCUCCCACUGUUUUCCUAUCCAACCUCAGCCAAGAAGCUUGCCCCUUCAUCUGUAAAAGGGGACGAGGCACUGGCCAGCCACUCUCCUGACUGACAAGCAAAGUUGUGGAGGCUUUGCCAACCCAAAUAAAAACUGGGAGUCCUUUGACGGGCGGGAACCGUGUCUAAUCACCAACGGUAUAUUUUUUCACCCAGCACUAAAUACAGUGCUCUUCACAAA
Long non-coding RNA from Ornithorhynchus anatinus (platypus), 880 nucleotides. RefSeq lists it as uncharacterized. The record is from RefSeq and is a predicted model, not a curated record. The transcript has 3 exons. Lineage: Eukaryota; Metazoa; Chordata; Mammalia; Monotremata; Ornithorhynchidae.